Small nuclear RNA from Myodes glareolus (Bank vole), 130 nucleotides. The record is from RefSeq and is a predicted model, not a curated record. NCBI's taxonomy places the organism in Eukaryota, Metazoa, Chordata, Mammalia, Rodentia, Cricetidae.
GUGUCGUAUGAUGGAGAGAAGUUCCGCCCUCCUGAUAAAGACAGAAGAAGCCCCUGGGUCCUUGGGUUUAAUAACACACAUACAAUUAAGGUAUUGCCAAGUGCUUUGUGGCAUCUAACCAUUGUUGUAG